CCUACGGGUGGCAGCAGUGGGGGAUAUUGCACAAUGGGGGAAACCCUGAUGCAGCGACGCCGCGUGUGGGAAGACGGUCCUCUGGAUUGUAAACCACUGUCCCCAGGGACGAAGAUGACGGUACCGGGGGAGGAAGCACCGGCUAACUACGUGCCAGCAGCCGCGGGAAUACGGAGGGAGCGAGCGUUGUCCGGAAUUACUGGGGGUAAAGGGAGCGUAGGCGGGACUGCAAGUUGGGUGUCAAAUCUACCGGCUCAACCGGUAGCCGCACUCCAAACUGCAGUUCUUGAGUGAAGUAGAGGCAGGCGGAAUUCCUCGUGUAGCGGUGAAAUGCUUAGAUAUUAGGAGGAACACCAGUGGCGAAGGCGGCCUGCUGGGCUUUUACUGACGCUGAUGCUCGAAAGUGUGGGGAGCAAACAGGAUUAGAUACCCCUGUAGUC
This 440-nucleotide ribosomal RNA is filed under the name uncultured bacterium. RNAcentral's name for it is "partial 16S ribosomal RNA". It matches the Rfam family "Bacterial small subunit ribosomal RNA", at positions 338 to 795 of the family's 1533-position model. The record is from RNAcentral.